RNAcentral lists this long non-coding RNA (694 nucleotides) under Hordeum vulgare. RNAcentral's name for it is "long non-coding RNA (HVUL_LNC016403)". The record is from RNAcentral. Lineage: Eukaryota; Viridiplantae; Streptophyta; Magnoliopsida; Poales; Poaceae.
GUCAUAGAGACACAAGGUUGAUCAAGAUCUCAGACAAAGAGUAAAUCAAGAUGAUCAACACGCAAAGAGUACAAGAUGUACCGAGAGGGAUCAAGUGAUCCCAUGGUAUGGUAACCAUUGUCCAUUACGUGUUUGCGUACUAACCCAUGGUCUUCGUGAGAGUUCUAUGUGGGGGUUAGGUGUGUUUCCAUGGGCUUGCGUCAAAAGAAAGAUCUCAUACAACCCAUGAAGUAUGACGUGAAUUGGUGAUCGUCAUCAAGAUUGCGGUGUGCAAGUUCAAGUGGAUCAGCACGAAUAUAUCAUGCUUGAAGCUUGUCGUCCAUUGUGGUGGCAAUGGACUUGUGAAGAUAUGCUGAAGAGUGGCUCACCCAUAGUGAGUAUGGGGGAGCAAUCAACUAGUCUUCAUCAAGCCAACGCAAUCAAGAAAGGUGGUCCAUCUUGAGGAAGCCAAGAUCAUCAUCAUCUAGCUCAAGUGGACGAGGUGCAAGGUAUAGGUUUGCGCUUGAUAGGUUUUCUGUUUUAGGAUAGAUUGCCGUUCUGCCAAGGGGGGCUCUCAAGUGAGUAGCUCGAUCAUAUCGUUCGUUGAUAGCUCAAACCAUUUCCAUCCUUGCAUCAUACUUCUUGGUUCUUAUUUGGUGUUUCUCUUUGUGAGUUUUAGAGCUUAUGGUCAUCUUGAUGACAAGCUCGAGUUCAU